This 423-nucleotide ribosomal RNA is filed under the name uncultured bacterium. RNAcentral describes it as "bacterial SSU rRNA". It matches the Rfam family "Bacterial small subunit ribosomal RNA", at positions 28 to 478 of the family's 1533-position model. The record is from RNAcentral.
GAUGAACGCUGGCGGCGUGCCUAACACAUGCAAGUCGAGCGAUUCUCUUCGGAGAAGAGCGGCGGACGGGUGAGUAACGCGUGGGUAACCUGCCCUGUACACACGGAUAACAUACCGAAAGGUAUGCUAAUACGGGAUAACAUAAGAAAUUCGCAUGUUUUUCUUAUCAAAGCUCCGGCGGUACAGGAUGGACCCGCGUCUGAUUAGCUAGUUGGUGAGGUAAUGGCUCACCAAGGCGACGAUCAGUAGCCGACCUGAGAGGGUGAUCGGCCACAUUGGAACUGAGACACGGUCCAAACUCCUACGGGAGGCAGCAGUGGGGAAUAUUGCACAAUGGGCGAAAGCCUGAUGCAGCAACGCCGCGUGAGCGAUGAAGGCCUUCGGGUCGUAAAGCUCUGUCCUCAAGGAAGAUAAUGACGGUAC